RNAcentral lists this ribosomal RNA (437 nucleotides) under uncultured bacterium. RNAcentral describes it as "partial 16S ribosomal RNA". It matches the Rfam family "Bacterial small subunit ribosomal RNA", at positions 29 to 507 of the family's 1533-position model. The record is from RNAcentral.
AGCGAACGCUGGCGGCAGGCUUAACACAUGCAAGUCGAGCGGGCAUCCUUGUGGUGUCAGCGGCAGACGGGUGAGUAACGCGUGGGAACGUGCCCUUCGGUUCGGAAUAACUCAGGGAAACUUGAGCUAAUACCGGAUACGUGCGAGAGCAGAAAGGUUUAUCUGCCGAAGGAUCGGCCCGCGUCUGAUUAGCUAGUUGGUGAGGUUAUGGCUCACCAAGGCGACGAUCAGUAGCUGGUCUGAGAGGAUGAUCAGCCACACUGGGACUGAGACACGGCCCAGACUCCUACGGGGGGCAGCAGUGGGGAAUAUUGGACAAUGGGGGCAACCCUGAUCCAGCCAUGCCGCGUGAGUGAUGACGGCCUUAGGGUUGUAAAGCUCUUUUCUUCGGGACGAUAAUGACGGUACCGGAGGAAUAAGCCCCGGCUAACUUCGUG